GAGAUCCUUCCUUUUGGAGUUUUCCAGUGAGGCCCAGGACAAGUGGCAUCAUGUGGGAGCAGGGGAGGGUAUAGUCACUGGCUGAAUAAUAGGACACAAUAUCAGAAAAAAAAAAUUAAGACAUAAGAUGGAGAUAACUGGAAAGAAGACUGAGAAAGCACCAGUUGUAUUUAUGAAAUCAGACAGUUUGACUGUUGGCAAGAAGUCCUGAACCCAGUCUCAUUUUAAGAGUAUUCAGGUAUCUAAAAUCUAUUCAAGAAGAAGGCGGCGCUGUCUUCACAGUACUGUAGCUGAGAGGUCAAGAGGCAAUGGACAGAAGUUGCUUCAAGAGCAAAUCUGCUUGGAUAAAAACUUUUUACUAUAGGAACAACCAAACAUUGGAAAAGUCUGUCCAUAGAUGUGGUGGAAAUGUGAAAGACUCAGCAGUGGUAAGGCUCUGUGUAUUGUGGCCUAGGAAUGUCCUUUCAAUAGAUACUUUGAUCAGAUUACAUACAAAAGUUCUCUCUAGCCCAGACAAUUCUAUAAUUUCUAGUACCACAAAGGAAAACAAAAUAGUUACUGUGUUUUAUUAUUAUAUUAUUAAUAAUAAAUAUAAUUAUAGUUAUUAUACUGUCUUAUAGUAUUAAAAGUGUGUUAAAAAUAGCGUUAAAACAGAACAAACAAAAACCACAGAACAACAAAGCACAUUUCAGCUGUAUUAUUGAUCUUUUAUAAAUUUACAACCUUGGUGCCCUAGCAAGAACAGGUGCCAGACCCAACUCAAAUAUAGUAGAAGGGCCAUUUCUAUACUCAGUUAUUUUUACAUGCAUUU
This is a long non-coding RNA of Lagopus muta (rock ptarmigan), 811 nucleotides long. RefSeq lists it as uncharacterized. The transcript has 4 exons. The record is from RefSeq and is a predicted model, not a curated record. NCBI's taxonomy places the organism in Eukaryota, Metazoa, Chordata, Aves, Galliformes, Phasianidae.